RNAcentral lists this transfer RNA (63 nucleotides) under Vasdavidius concursus. RNAcentral describes it as "tRNA-His". Lineage: Eukaryota; Metazoa; Arthropoda; Insecta; Hemiptera; Aleyrodidae. The record is from RNAcentral.
AUUUAAAUAGUUUAUAAAAAACGUUAAUUUGUGAAAUUAAAAAAAAUAAAGUAUUUUUAAAUC